GACGAACGCUGGCGGCGUGCCUAAUACAUGCAAGUAGAACGCUGAAGGAGGAGCUUGCUUCUCUGGAUGAGUUGCGAACGGGUGAGUAACGCGUAGGUAACCUGCCUGGUAGCGGGGGAUAACUAUUGGAAACGAUAGCUAAUACCGCAUAAUAGUAGAUGUUGCAUGACAUUUGCUUAAAAGGUGCAAUUGCAUCACUACCAGGUGGACCUGCGUUGUAUUAGCUAGUUGGUGAGGUAACGGCUCACCAAGGCAACGAUACAUAGCCGACCUGAGAGGGUGAUCGGCCACACUGGGACUGAGACACGGCCCAGACUCCUACGGGAGGCAGCAGUAGGGAAUCUUCGGCAAUGGACGGAAGUCUGACCGAGCAACGCCGCGUGAGUGAAGAAGGUUUUCGGAUCGUAAAGCUCUGUUGUAAGAGAAGAACGAGUGUGAGAGUGGAAAGUUCACACUGUGACGGUAUCUUACCAGAAAGAGACGGCUAACUACGUG
Molecule: ribosomal RNA, 495 nt
Filed under: uncultured bacterium
Lineage: Bacteria
Description: partial 16S ribosomal RNA
Rfam family: Bacterial small subunit ribosomal RNA
Source: RNAcentral